Molecule: long non-coding RNA, 8621 nt
Organism: Cavia porcellus (domestic guinea pig)
Lineage: Eukaryota; Metazoa; Chordata; Mammalia; Rodentia; Caviidae
Exons: 2
Source: RefSeq, a predicted model, not a curated record
UUGUGAUAUAUAGUAUCAUUUCUGUUUUUUUUUUUUUCACUUUUCCUUCCAAUACAUUUAUUUAUUUAUUAUUUUGAAAAGUUCCCCUCAAGCAUUUUGCUAAGCUGCUGGGGAAGCAGAUUUGUGGCCCAGCUCCUAAACUCAAGAGACGGCCUUCUUUAUUUAUCCAAUCCUUAAAAAUCCUUUAUCCAAUCCAACGCUCUCUCCAUUGUUCAAGACCACUUAUUAAAAUGAUCUCAUUUCCUUUGCUUCAAACCUGCAGAACCCAUUCAGUUUUUCUUCUGCCACUACCAGUGUUCAGGUGCCAUUCCAUUGUAGCCAGGCUUUUUCAGGAGUCACUAUGUUGCUCUCCUUGUAACCGAUGCCCACUUUUCCUUUUUGAUCUUGGACAUGGCCACCAGAGUCAUUAUCCUAUAAGCUUUCAUGUUAUCACUAUAGUUCAAGAAGAGGGCAGGUAACUCGGCAUUAGAAUGUGCCCCUUCUCAAUCUAGUCUCACUUCUACAAAACUAAGGCCCUCCUUAAACUAGUGAUCCUUCUCCACACCCUCGGUCAUACUGGAUGUCUAUAUUAUCAUCUGUCUGGAUUCCUCUCCAUUGUUCUUUUCACUUACAAAGCAGCAAAGCAUGGUGGGUAAAGCCAUGAAUUUGGGACCAGAUGCGCCUUACCACUUACUUGUUCUGUGGUUUGGGGCUACUUGUAUAAGUCUUUCUUAUGCCUCUCACUAUAUCAUUGAAAAUAACUUAUUUUUAAAAAUCCUUCCUAGAAUUGUUAAGAUUAAGUGGGUAAUAUAUUAAAAGACCUUGACACAUACAAAAUGCUUGUUUUGGCUUUUUUUUUUUUUUUUUUUUUUUAUGUAGCCCAGGCUGACCUUGAACCUGGGCAAUCCUUCUGCCUUAGCCUCCCAAGGGUUGGGAAUACAGGUAUAUACAAUCGCACCUGGCUAUUUUUAGCUAUUGUCAUUGUUCUUAUUGCUAAUGAAAACCCAGAUCCCACUCUCACAUUUCAUAGCUCACUGCAAAUUGUAGGGGGCUCCUGGGAGCUUUUCCAGACAAUAAGAUGGAAGUAAUUCUUCCCUUUUCAACCUUUUUAAGCCCUUCUUAUCCAAUCCACAGUUACCAGGCAAAUUUAGACCUAUUUAUUAUUUUCAUGGGAAAUAAAACUCAGAGACAUCUAGCCAUACACAAGAAUACAUAUUUACUGCUAAUGGAAAGAGUGUCACAUGUUUUGUAGAGCAUACAUUCCCUGAGGGUAGAUCCAGCUCUUUAUAUAUUAGUGCUUUUCUUACAGGGCUUUACAACUAGUUACUAACAAAAAUAAGUCCAAUUUUUUUCUGAUUAAAUGAAGCGUGCAGGUGGAAAAUUAUGAACAGACCAGUCUAUGUAAAUAGUCAGUGACCGUUCAGAUAAUAGCGUCCUGACUACUAGAAUAUGAAUAUGAAGAAACAUGGGCCCUUAGUCAGUGUUGGACAAAGGCUUGGCCAGACCGUGUGGACGGUAGUUCUGGACACCAAUACCAUGGUGGUGUAGCAGAGGUAGCUUGGUGGCAGGCUGCCACACAGGCUGAAAUAAAAAACAGAGAAGCUAGGAGAAGACUGUGGGGUAUGACUGCUGAACUUUGGACUCUGAAAGAGAAGAAAUUUUAAAAUCAAAGGCCAUUUGUAAAGAAAGAAUCCCAUUGCCUUUGGAAGAUGAUAGAAGUUGAUGAGAGUGAUAAAUGCAGUAAAGUUAUAGUUGGGUCUUCCUUGGUUAACUGUGGAGUAUUCACAUUUGGAGAAGGUUGUCUUUAAAGGAAGAAGAGAUGUGUUCAGUCUCAAGACUCUGACCUCCGUGGGUAGCAGAGAACAGGUCCACCUUGCUCUCCCCAGGUCCCUGACGUCUGGGACAGUCAAUGGCAUCCUCCACAGUGGAUAUCUGAUAAGUACGUCAUAAAAGAAGUCACAGUCACUUAAACUUGAUACCUGCAGAAUCAAAUGAGGCAAGUUGUAGAAAAUUCUCCCCACCUGUUUAAUGAUUCGCUCAUUCUGAUUAGCUGGCAUAGUAAAUUAUUUUUUCCUAAAAAGGUAUCCUUCUCCCUUCUUGAGAAGGGUGUUCGAAAGAGACAAUUUUUUAAAUUCCAGUACAGCUGACAGAACCUACAGACCCCUAGGCAUCUGUCUCCUGUGUGCCUUACUGUAACUAGUAAAACAAACCCAGCAACGCAGCACCUCAGCAGAUAGGUGCUCCAGAAAGCAAUUGUUUGCUCUCACUCUAUAGAGAAGUAGCAAUAUCUGCGUGGCUUAAGGGCUGGAGCAGCAGUCACGUACAGCAUUAGAAAAAUAUUACCCUCAUUUGCCAUUGUGUAGUGCCAAGCUGCAAAUAAGAGACAUGUCAGUUCAACAAAGCAGAAAUGUUUCAUUCGUAUUCAGUGAUUACUGUGAGGGAAUUUUAUUGCUACAAAUGUGUAUAUAUGCCUUUAAAUAAGUGAUUGCAAUUUAAAAAACAAUGCAAACUGUCUCCCCCAUUCUCUCUACAAAGGAACAAGGUUUCCCUACUUGGGUGAAUAUUGCCUGCUCUGCUUGUAGAAGAAAAAGAGCAGCCUUGGCAAGCAUCUUAUUAGUCUAAAAAUAAAUUAUUCAAAAUGCAAGUUCAGAUACAGAUUGCAAGGAAAGAUAAUAGAAUUGGUUUUCCAAGCCUGAUCAUGCUAUGAAGACAUGGUGUGUGCUUUUCAGGAACCCACUUAAGUGGAAUCAGCUUUGUCGAAUACACACUAGAAAUAAUAUUGCUGCCAUCCAGCUAGUGUCUGUGGUACAGCAUCCUCGGGACCGCUUCGAGCAUCCGUGGUCUCUCCCCUUCAGUGUGCAUAAGUAACAGUAGAUGUGUAUUUCCAAGCAUUUCUUCAGGAUUCAAUCUUCUCAUUGUUCUUUUAAGGAAAUUUCUUCCUGGCAGCACAAGAAGGGCAGGUCUCACUCGAGAUCUGUCUCCCUCCUGCUCCCCCCACCUCCUCCCCGCCUUGGCGAAAUAGUUGACCACAUCAGCAGCCGAUUCCAGCUCGUCAUGUGGUUUCUCAUGUGAUGCUGGGUCUGCGGCACUUUGGAGCAACAGCAUUUGUGACUCGGCACUCAUGGACAGACAGUAGCGUUCAGGGACAAGAGAGAUUUUGGAGGGGGUGGGGAGGCCAAUAAACCGAGAAACAUUAGAAAUAAAAGUCGCACGAAGCGCCGGGCUGCGCUAUUUUGUGUUUCUUUCUUUUUUUUUUCUUUUCUUUCUUUUUUUUAAAUUCUGAAGCCAGACUGUCUUGCCUCCCAGCACCGGGGCUGCUUCGCCGUGGGCACGCCGAGCCUCCCGGUUACCUGCGUGGCUCCUGCGGCAUCUCCUGCCUGGGCUUCGCCAUAGUGCACUGGACCCGGACUCGCGAGUCUGCACCCAGCACAAGGAGGACCUGCUGGUGGAGCUCUGGCCAGGGUCUCCUCUCACCUGCUUGAGGGGACUUGGGAGCCAGGGCAAAGCUGCGGACAUCUCAGGGAGGGAUGGUAGAGGACGCAGAGGACCAGGAUGGGGAUGUUAGGAAUCCUAUGUUACCAAUGCCACCGGUGCUCUGCAGGGAGAGGACAGCUGCCUGCACCCAGCUCCGGCUGCUCUUAGGGAGUAAUCUGGAAAGACAAGCCAGGCUGAGGUGUGGUGGCCUUUCACCUGAGAGUGGAGCUGAAGAUGGAUAAACAAGGUAUCUGAUGUAUCUGCCUGGCAAGGCGGAGUUGGAGAAAAGCAGAGAGGAAUGCGUGAAGAGAAAGGAGAUGCUGACUGCUGUGUGAUUGCUGCUCACUCUGCGUUCUUAUUCUAGGGAAAAUGGCAUAAUUUAUAAGCCAGUACAUGGAUGGAGGAACUGUAAAUUGUAGUCUGGAUGUCCCCGGUGCUGUCAGAGAAGAAACUGAUGGGCUGGGUGGCUGUACUGUGUCCCCAGAGAAAACAGCUUUGCAGCAUGGAUUUAAAUGCAUGUGCGUGCAUGUAGAGACAUGGGGUGGGGAAGCGAUUUCUGACCAUUUUACACAGGAAGUCUGUCACUCUGCUGGAUCGGGUGUGAUUGCAGCUUGUGUUUUCAGUGCCAGCUUGACACCCAUCUCCUGACCAGCCAGAAAGCUCGGCCAAAGCAGCUGCAACCCGCCUCACUUUUAACUCCUUGAAGCUCUGUGCUCUGUGUGGUGCUAGGACUGAUGGAGUGGUUUUUGUUUUCUUCUUCCUCUUCUUCUACAAAUCCCUGUAAACACAGCUGUAUUCAGUAUGGAAAAAAAAUUUCUAGCCUGUAAAUAGAAAUGUGAUCAAUUUAAUCAAAAUAAAUAUAUACCAGAUGACUUCGACACCAGCUGGCUACCACAGGCUUCAGAUGCAGACUGCUCGGUAGAGAUGAACACAGCGUUAUAUUUACAUGUUUUAGAAUGCCAGGAUUAGCCUAUAAUUAAAGAAAGCAAGCCUCUUAUGAGGAAGAGAGGUGGUCCUUCCAGCUCACAGCUAGAUGGUUAGGCACAGGUGCGGAUGGCUGCCCUUCAUGUGACUGGGACGCAUGUGGUGUGGCGUUUCAGAGGGCUUGUGCCACAAGGCAGAGCAUGGCUGCCGUCAGCGUGGAGAAAGCUUGGCUCUGAGUUGCUGCUGUAGAAAGCUGAGCCUCUGCACAGUCUCUAGCGAGGCGGGGGAAAGUCACUCAGGCUUGUAGAUUCCAAACAGGGAGCUGCAGUGCCCUGUCCCAGCCUGGUGGAGUGUCACCACCCACCUGAGACAGAAAAGCUUUCGCAGUUGUCAUGGGGAGCUCAUUGGGGAUGCCUGUCUGGCCUCUCCACUGUUUGUUACCAAUUCUACAAAGGCAGUUCUGUGCUUUGGAUUUUGUUUGGCCAGCUGUUGGUGCAUUCCUGCGGGCGGGGUGGACGAGGAUCUUGUUACUGUACUUCCAAACUGUAGAUCUGUGUGCAGGCAGAGGAGGGAGGGAAGGAAAGAAGCCAGAGAGAGAGAGAAUCUGAUCGUUCAGAUGCCUUUCUCCAGAUAGUCCUAGAGUGAAUCGAGAAAGGCUUUAAAGUGAAAAGAAAGACAGAGCAAGAAGGGGACGAGAAAGGGACAAGGGAGAGAAGGAAACCGAGCAAGCCCAAAAGAGAAAAACAGAACUUCAAAGCUGCAUAGACAAGCACAAUGUCAGCAGCUUGUAAUUAGUGGUUCCUGGUUGCGUCAGUGACUACAUCUCUCCAAGAAUAACUCUGUGAUGUGUGCCACAAAGUGAAGAAGAUAGUCAUAACUAAAUUAUCAAACAGUUCAAACCAGGGCACAUGGAUUAAGGAGUUUUCUGUGUUUGUAAAUCAAAUAUGGAUGGAUUACAUGUACAGGAUUUGCUGAAUUCUGCACAACUGAAAGCUGAAUUAGCAAUGUGUGUGUGGAUAUGAGGGGUUUGUUUACUAGAUGAAAUGGGGAACUCUAAAGAUUUUUUUGUGCAAGCUCUAUCAGUGUACGAUAUUUCUCCAACUGGCCCCCCAACUGCACUGUCUGUCUCCUAUCUCUGCAUCCACAGAUUGCUUUUGUUUAUUCUUGUGCAUUUCAAUGGAGAUAAGUCAAAAGCUACAUUUGAGUAAAUAUGGACAAUGAGGUCUAAAACUCCCAUUUCAGAUUGCAAAAAUGACUACAGGGUUCUGAGUUUCAUUGGUAGCUCCAGCUUAAACCUUGAAAGAACUUUCGUUGUCCAGAAGCCAAACAGCAGUCUGUUAGUAAUUCUGGGGCAAGGCAGGGUAUUGUGGUUGUUGAGAUUUGAAGGCCACGUUCACAACCGUCCCUUGUCUCUUGUGCUUAGAGGUGUGGUGCUCUGAUAGCCUCUGCAGGAAUACAAUGGGAGGAGCUGAUUGGCUGGAAGGUUUAGGAUGUUUACUUGUAUUUGUUUUCACUGCCCCUCCAUGGCAUUCAUUGUGUAUUUGUAUUUGUGUUCAUGCUGCACAAUUACUCCUGACUGCUCUGUUUCUCUGCCCAAAGAGAAGUCAAUUUUAGUUCAGCUCUAUGCAUUUGGCUUCUGGGGUAAUAUACACAUAUGUAUUGCAUUACCUAUGUAUGCAAUUGCCUUUUUAAGUGUGGAUUAGGGGAAACUGUAGGCAGGGAGAGCUGUGUACAUUAAAUCAAUAGUGUUUUGAAUCACACGUAAUAUAAUUUAAAUAUACUCACUCCGAGGUUGCCAAAGCUGACAUUGUCUGAGCCCCUUUAAUUUACAUCUUCGAUUUAGUCAAGAAGCGGAACCUGCCAGAUCAGAAUAGCCUAUUCUGUGCACCCAACAGGGUGGAAGACAUUAUUUUGUUUGUGUUAGUUCAAACAGCUGGUCAUUAAUGCCGUCCCCAUUUCUGGAGUGAAGUGCUGGUCGACGUGAAUAGCUGCCUGAUUAAUGCUGCCCCUCGGAGGGUCCUUCACCCAGCAGCCCCGCUCGCAGCAGAAUAAUGUAGCAUGAUGUGAUUGCACUCUAACAGGAUAGUAUGUCAUUGUGUCACCAAGCAAUUGAGGUUAUUAUGGGGCAGGGCAGACAGACGGGACAGUGGGGUUACUAGACCGUAGCAUUUUUAGAAAUACAGGCCUGACCUACUUAGUUAGAGUUAUUCUCUCUGGCUGGCAGCUGCAUGGUGCAUGAAGUCUCCUGAUAGGCUGAGGCUGUUGCUAGGGGGAAUUAGCAUGAAUUUUUCCACACACAAACUCAGUGACUGAAUGAUAAAAGCUGACUGGAAUUAAGGAGAUUUGGUUUAGUAUUAUACAGAUUUAUCUGCCUCGUUUUUCUUUCUCAAGUGCAGAGAAAGAGUGCAAAAUACAGAUUGUGUUUCCAUUUGCUCUUUGACCUCUUCCUUCUCUGUCUCCUGCCCCUCUCCCCCACCCCAAAGAUUCAUAAGGAGAAAGAGCAGGGCAGUUAUGAAAUUUUGAUUGAUCUCUUACUGCUGGAAUCAUUGAAAUGACGUUGCAAGUUGCAAGCUAUUUAGGCUUAGAGAUGGCAGGGAAUGACUAGCAGAAGGUUAGAUUUUUUUUUUUUCCUUUCCUGUGCACUAAGCUGUUUUGAAGUUGGGCAUGCAUCUUUCAUGCACUGUAUAUUUAAACUCUCUUUCCCUUUUGGGCUUGAACAAAACAUUUAUAUAAAUUCUUUUCUAUCCAAACAGAUUGAAGCUUGCAAUCCUUGGCUUGUUUAAAAUAAGAUAGUCAGGAUUCCAGAUUUAGAUGGUGGGGGGAGCAGUAUAUACCAUUUUUUAUUACAAAAUAUUUUUUUCAGGCUAUUUUGGGGUUGGCUUUCUUCAAAAUCCAGCCUGAUGUUUAUGCUUAAGGAUAAAAUUUAACUGCUCCCACUGCUACCCCACUUUGCUGCACAGUGUACAAAAAGACACAGAGUUUUCUCCAGAAGAAAAUAUAGCUGCAGAAUUUAUCUAGAGGUUGGUUUUUCUUGUUGCUGACACAUGCACUACAUGUAGAGAGCUCCCAUAAUCAAUUUUAUAAAAUGACCCUGUUUUUUCCUUCUGCUGCAUCUCCAACUGUCUGCGAUUUUAAUAGAUCUUUUCAAGAGGAGGAUUUUUAAUAGAUCUUUUAAAGAUAAUCUGAAAGUCCAUCAGGAGAGAAAUUAAAGCAAUGUGUAUUCAAGAGUACUUUGAUUUUUCUCUUAAUUAUAUGCUAUCUGUGCUUAAACUGCAGUUUCUUUCUGGUACGUUUUGUGCUGAAAGUAGUUAUUGCCUUGCCUUUUUGAUUUGAAAUUAAUUUUUGUAAGAAAGUACUCUGCUAUCACAAGUAAACAAGAAGCUUGGCUGUAUGAGCAAGGAGAGGAAUAAUGUAGCUUCUUGUCAGUUUGCAACACUGCAUUUCUUGGCCAUAAGUAAAUAGGCAUGAGAAAAUUUAGCUGUAGAUUUUUGUUUUCAUUUAGGUUUUCCUAAAUGUUAAGAACUAGUUUAGAUACAGAUGUUUUCAAACAGUAAUUUCUCCUUGCACCAGAACCUACAGCAAAAACAAAAUUAGAAAAAUCCUCCAGUGGUAUUAGAACCUAGAAGUCCAUCAAUCAUCGCCUUAAAAAAAAAAAACCCUAGCAGUGUUUACAUUUCAGCAUAUAAAUAUAGUUUAUCAAGCUAAAAUAGAGUGCAUUGCCUGGUGUCGUAGGUGGAGGAUUAGAUCCUCACCAGCUUGCAAGUCCCAGAAUAACAUUUAUUGUCAAAAUUUCCAACUAUCCUAAUAAUCUUGCAUAAUUAAAUAAAACAUCAAUUUGUGUUUGUUGAAUAAAAGAUUACCUUGUAGUAAUCCUUCUGAGAUGAAACAAUUUUUUAUUUUAAUAAGUGAACAUUUCUAUUUUUCUCUUAUAGUACUUAGUUUAAGGAGAUGUGUAAACCUUUAAAUAUUUAAGUGCAAAAAUAAAUACCAUGUCACUUUAAAAUCACUUAUGAAAAAAUGUUAGCAUAGUUUUAUUAACAUUCUAUAGUGCACAGACACCUAAUUGUUGUAAAUCAUGGCCUGGGUCCGGGUAGGCAGUCCAAUUUAAUGUUUGUCAUUUGAUUAAAAUACAUUGAUCACAUUGUGUUUGAUUGCUUUAAGAAUUUUUUUAUUGGUUUGGCUUCUAUCCCUAACCAAAGACUUAAGUGCUCAGUGUGUCAAAAAUAAAACUUAAACAAAAAGUA